Molecule: unclassified non-coding RNA, 286 nt
Filed under: plant metagenome
Description: partial contains small subunit ribosomal RNA, internal transcribed spacer 1, and 5.8S ribosomal RNA
Source: RNAcentral
UCUCCGUUGGUGAACCAGCGGAAGGAUCAUUACCAAAUCCAUGUUGUUGUUGUUUUGGUUGCAUCUGUUGAUGUGCAUGUCAUGUUUGCUCCCUUUCUGUGCAAAUAUGCGUGUACAUUGAUGAUGCAUUCAUUACAAACAAACAAAUUAGUUCCAUAUGUGUGUAAUACAUAGUCUUUCAUUCGUUUUAUGUGGACAUAUUAUGAUACAUUUCUACGAAACGUCUGUUUUACUCAUUUCUAAUCAUAUUAAACAAUAACUUUUAACAAUGGAUCUCUAGGCUCUU